AAACGACUCUCGGCAACGGAUAUCUCGGCUCUCGCAUCGAUGAAGAAGGUAGAGAAAUGCGAUACUUGGUGUGAAUUGCAGAAUCCCGUGAACCAUCGAGUCUUUGAACGCAAGUUGCACCCGAAGCCUUCCGGCCGAGGGCACGUCUGCCUGGGCGUCAAG
This 162-nucleotide ribosomal RNA is filed under the name Tephrocactus articulatus. Its description in RNAcentral is "5.8S ribosomal RNA". It matches the Rfam family "5.8S ribosomal RNA". From Rfam's summary of the family: 5.8S ribosomal RNA (5.8S rRNA) is a component of the large subunit of the eukaryotic ribosome. It is transcribed by RNA polymerase I as part of the 45S precursor that also contains 18S and 28S rRNA. Lineage: Eukaryota; Viridiplantae; Streptophyta; Magnoliopsida; Caryophyllales; Cactaceae. The record is from RNAcentral.